UUCGCCCUUAGAGUUUGAUCCUGGCUCAGGACGAACGCUGGCGGCGCGCCUAACACAUGCAAGUCGAACGAGCGAGAGAGAGCUUGCUUUCUCAAGCGAGUGGCGAACGGGUGAGUAACGCGUGAGGAACCUGCCUCAAAGAGGGGGAUAACAGUUGGAAACGGCUGCUAAUACCGCAUAAGCGCACAGCAUCGCAUGAUGCAGUGUGAAAAACUCCGGUGGUAUAAGAUGGACCCGCGUUGGAUUAGCUAGUUGGUGAGGUAACGGCCCACCAAGGCAACGAUCCAUAGCCGACCUGAGAGGGUGACCGGCCACAUUGGGACUGAGACACGGCCCAAACUCCUACGGGAGGCAGCAGUGGGGAAUAUUGCACAAUGGGGGAAACCCUGAUGCAGCGACGCCGCGUGAAGGAAGAAGUAUCUCGGUAUGUAAACUUCUAUCAGCAGGGAAGAUAGUGACGGUACCUGACUAAGAAGCCCCGGCUAACUACGUGCCAGCAGCCGCGGUAAAACGUAGGUCACAAGCGUUGUCCGGAAUUACUGGGUGUAAAGGGAGCGCAGGCGGGAAGACAAGUUGGAAGUGAAAUCCAUGGGCUCAACCCAUGAACUGCUUUCAAAACUGUUUUUCUUGAGUAGUGCAGAGGUAGGCGGAAUUCCCGGUGUAGCGGUGGAAUGCGUAGAUAUCGGGAGGAACACCAGUGGCGAAAGCGGCCUACUGGGCACCAACUGACGCUGAGGCUCGAAAGUGUGGGUAGCAAACAGGAUUAGAUACCCUGGUAGUCCACACUGUAAACGAUGAUUACUAGGUGUUGGAGGAUUGACCCCUUCAGUGCCGCAGUUAACACAAUAAGUAAUCCACCUGGGGAGUACGACCGCAAGGUUGAAACUCAAAGGAAUUGACGGGGGCCCGCACAAGCAGUGGAGUAUGUGGUUUAAUUCGACGCAACGCGAAGAACCUUACCAAGUCUUGACAUCCUGCGACGGACAUAGAAAUAUGUUUUUCCUUCGGGACGCAGAGACAGGUGGUGCAUGGUUGUCGUCAGCUCGUGUCGUGAGAUGUUGGGUUAAGUCCCGCAACGAGCGCAACCCUUAUGGUCAGUUACUACGCAAGAGGACUCUGGCCAGACUGCCGUUGACAAAACGGAGGAAGGUGGGGAUGACGUCAAAUCAUCAUGCCCUUUAUGACUUGGGCUACACACGUACUACAAUGGCGUUAAACAAAGAGAAGCAAGACCGCGAGGUGGAGCAAAACUCAGAAACAACGUCCCAGUUCGGACUGCAGGCUGCAACUCGCCUGCACGAAGUCGGAAUUGCUAGUAAUCGCAGAUCAGCAUGCUGCGGUGAAUACGUUCCCGGGCCUUGUACACACCGCCCGUCA
Molecule: ribosomal RNA, 1377 nt
Filed under: uncultured bacterium
Lineage: Bacteria
Description: 16S ribosomal RNA
Rfam family: Bacterial small subunit ribosomal RNA
Source: RNAcentral